UACAGAGGUCUCAAGCGUUGUUCGGAUUCAUUGGGCGUAAAGGGUGCGUAGGCGGCGCGGUAAGUCGGGUGUGAAAUCUCGGAGCUUAACUCCGAAACUGCAUUUGAUACUGGCGUGCUUGAGGACUGGAGAGGAGACUGGAAUUCACGGUGUAGCAGUGAAAUGCGUAGAUAUCUGGAGGAACACCGGUGGCGAAGGCGGCAUCCUGGACCAACACUGACGCUGAGUGAGCGAAAGCCAGGGGAGCAAACGGG
This 254-nucleotide ribosomal RNA is filed under the name uncultured bacterium. RNAcentral describes it as "partial 16S ribosomal RNA". It matches the Rfam family "Bacterial small subunit ribosomal RNA", at positions 524 to 776 of the family's 1533-position model. The record is from RNAcentral.